Podarcis muralis (Common wall lizard) is the source of this 456-nucleotide non-coding RNA. The record is from RefSeq and is a predicted model, not a curated record. Lineage: Eukaryota; Metazoa; Chordata; Lepidosauria; Squamata; Lacertidae.
UUUUCCUACUGCUGAAGAAUGUUCUCUACUGUUGUUAGACAGCAACAGCAUCAGUGUUUGUGUGUGUGUGUGUGUGUGUGAGUGAGAGAGAGAGAGAUGAUCUCCAUAAUCGGGACUAACAGGAUAUAGCUGACUUCCUGCGUUUUUCUACAGCAAAUGUAUGCCAUACGAAAACAGUAGUACUGCUCUUUUGACACACAGGGGAUUUCAGUUUUGGUAUUACCAGCUAUGCUGAAUUAUGGACUUGGGCAGCAGGAUACUUCAGUUGUGCGCACACAAGCGUACUCCUUUUUGCCCCAGUGUGCUUCUGUACAAUCCAGAUGCCCCAAGAGAAACACAGAAAUUACUUGCAUGGAACAGAUUAGAAGCUUGAGAGGUUGCAUUCUCAUUUUGAAAUGGCAUGUUUCAAGUUGAAGCAAACAUUCUUGAACACAUCUGCUGCCAACAAAGGUUCUA